ACCUGGGUGGCUGAGUUGGUGAAGCAUGUGAUUCUCAAUCUCUGGGUCGUGAGUUCGAGCCACACUAGGUA
RNAcentral lists this transfer RNA (71 nucleotides) under Canis lupus familiaris (dog). It matches the Rfam family "tRNA". Rfam says of the family: Transfer RNA (tRNA) molecules are approximately 80 nucleotides in length. Their secondary structure includes four short double-helical elements and three loops (D, anti-codon, and T loops). Lineage: Eukaryota; Metazoa; Chordata; Mammalia; Carnivora; Canidae. The record is from Rfam by way of RNAcentral. RNAcentral also lists the same sequence under 1 other name.